Molecule: non-coding RNA, 30 nt
Filed under: Mus musculus (house mouse)
Lineage: Eukaryota; Metazoa; Chordata; Mammalia; Rodentia; Muridae
Source: RNAcentral
UAAACAUCACCAUGCCUCUCUGCUUUGGAC